ACGCACGCUGGCGGCGUGCUUAACCCAUGCAAGUCGAACGGAAAGGCCCUGCUUUUGUGGGGUGCUCGAGUGGCGAACGGGUGAGUAACACGUGAGUAACCUGCCCUUGACUUUGGGAUAACUUCAGGAAACUGGGGCUAAUACCGGAUAGGAGCUCCUGCUGCAUGGUGGGGGUUGGAAAGUUUCGGCGGUUGGGGAUGGACUCGCGGCUUAUCAGCUUGUUGGUGGGGUAGUGGCUUACCAAGGCUUUGACGGGUAGCCGGCCUGAGAGGGUGACCGGCCACAUUGGGACUGAGAUACGGCCCAGACUCCUACGGGAGGCAGCAGUGGGGAAUAUUGCACAAUGGGCGGAAGCCUGAUGCAGCAACGCCGCGUGCGGGAUGACGGCCUUCGGGUUGUAAACCGCUUUCGCCUGUGACGAAGCGUGAGGGACGGUAAUGGUAAAGAAGCACCGGCUAACUACGUG
Molecule: ribosomal RNA, 466 nt
Filed under: uncultured bacterium
Lineage: Bacteria
Description: partial 16S ribosomal RNA
Rfam family: Bacterial small subunit ribosomal RNA
Source: RNAcentral